CAGCUUCCUCAGCCUUUUCUACAGGUCCUGAUUACUGAUGGGGCUGCACCUGGAGGGAGUCAAUCAGGUGUGGAAUUCCCCUUGAGAUGCAGAACAGUGAAGUGGAAUAAAGCAGAGCGAGACGGG
Molecule: long non-coding RNA, 126 nt
Organism: Trematomus bernacchii (emerald rockcod)
Lineage: Eukaryota; Metazoa; Chordata; Actinopteri; Perciformes; Nototheniidae
Exons: 3
Source: RefSeq, a predicted model, not a curated record